CACUCUUCAAGGAAGGCCCUUUCAACUUUACAAUCUGUUUCUUGACUAUCGCUUCAAAUGCCAUGUCUGGAGUAAACAACCCUGUCCUGAAGUAAUAAAUUAUUGUUAGCACCCUGGCAUGCGUUGCUGUUCUAACUAUGAAGCAGGCAACAAAAGAGCUGAGAGGACAGCAUUCCCGACAGCAACGUCACAAGAGACAAGGACCCAAAUCUAACAGAACCAGCAACCACAAGAAACCAGCAACCAACUGAUUGCCAUGUGAACUGGGUGACAAGAUGAAAGGAUUCUGGAUCUCUGCAAAACAUCAUGGAGAAGAAAUACCACAGCACCCUGAACAUUCACCUAGGACUAUUGUUUGCACCAUUACAUGUUUGAGUCUACUUAUUGUGGUGUUAUUAGCAGAAACAAUGGUACUGUGAAGAAGAGAGCUGACAUAAUGAAAAGCUGGCAUACCAAAGUUAAAUGGUAAGGAAACAAAUGUUGCAAAUUAGAAAGAUGAAGAUUCAUGUUAUGCAGUAGUUGCAUAUUUUGUAAACCUGCUGCAUGUGAUAACAUUUAAGGUGGAUUUGAAAGGAGAAGCUGUUGGAAAGGGUCAGAAUGUCAAUUUGUCUUGAUUGUUCCUUGAUGCUUAAAGCAGAGUAUUUAAGAAUGAUAUGAGUUCACAUGAGAAAUUUAUCAUUUUGCAAGUGGAAAUAAA
This 697-nucleotide long non-coding RNA is filed under the name Homo sapiens (human). RNAcentral describes it as "HSALNT0017509". Lineage: Eukaryota; Metazoa; Chordata; Mammalia; Primates; Hominidae. The record is from RNAcentral.